AGCUCCAAUAGCGUAUAUUAAAGUUGUUGCGGUUAAAAAGCUCGUAGUUGGAUUUCUGUUAGGGACGUCCGGUCCGCAUUAUGUGCGUGUAUCUGGCUCGGCCUUGGCAUCCUCCAGGGGAACACGAUGCGCUUCGCUGCGUGACGUGGUAUUCUGGACUUUUACUUUGAGGAAAUUAGAGUGUUCACGGCAGGCAGUCGCCUUGAAUAUAUUAGCAUGGAAUAAUAAUAUAGGACCUUUGUUCUAUCUUGUUGGUUUCUAGAAUUUAGGUAAUGAUUAAUAGGGACAAUUGGGGGCACUUGUAUUAACGCGUCAGAGGUGGAAUUCUUGGAUUGCGUUACGACAAACUACUGCGAAAGCAUUUGCCAAAGAUGUUUUCA
RNAcentral lists this ribosomal RNA (380 nucleotides) under uncultured eukaryote. Its description in RNAcentral is "SSU rRNA". It matches the Rfam family "Eukaryotic small subunit ribosomal RNA", at positions 587 to 972 of the family's 1831-position model. The record is from RNAcentral.